Long non-coding RNA from Coregonus clupeaformis (lake whitefish), 1975 nucleotides. RefSeq lists it as uncharacterized. NCBI's taxonomy places the organism in Eukaryota, Metazoa, Chordata, Actinopteri, Salmoniformes, Salmonidae. The record is from RefSeq and is a predicted model, not a curated record. The transcript has 3 exons.
UCUUGGACACGCUGCGCCUUGGUCAUACUUAGACGACAUAGACGACCGUGACACUCAGACUGAUAAUAAUAUGGUCUUCUAACACCUGUCUACCAUUUAAGUAUUUACAUUGGCAUUAAGAGCUAAUGACCUCUCCUGAUGUCAUCAUGUCACCAAACAGCUGUGCAAUUAUGGCAGGCAGCAGUGGGUAUGGCUUCUGGAGUGGGUGUGUUCCUGAUGGGAUUGACAGCUGUCUGUCUCUGCAGGAGGACCAGUGAGUACUUCUGAUUCUGCAUAACAAAUAUUUUGAAAACGUUUUCCUUUGUCAUAUUAAUGUAAGUGCCAUUAACAUGGGUUAAUCUAUCAACUAAUUUUGGUAAUAUUUUAUAGGGUAGGCUAUAAUCAAUAUCAUUAUUUUAGCUUAAUUUGUUUUUCAGAGAAAACAUUCUCAGAGGUAAGAAUUCCCCUUGUGAAUAUUUUAUAAUGCUGAUUCUAUCUCAACCUUUAGUUCUGUAUUGUCCAUGAUGAGAUGUUCUUACCACAACCUUCUUAUACUUGUAUUUUGUAUAGACCUACAGCCAGACAGGAUGAUCACAGCCAAUGUAUGUUCCAAAAAUAUACAUCACUGCACACACUACUAACACAACUACACACAUGCAUGUACAAAUACAAAUUGUAAUGACAUUUUCAUUUAAUAUCUGUUCUAGAUGAUUUGGUGAUGGGAGCUGUGAGCAGUGCAGGCAUGUUGGAAUCAGGGGAUGCUGGGAUCUAUUCUCUCAUCACCUCUGUACCGUCCACGUUUUUGCCCUCAGGCCCUGUUGAAGAGAAUGAAAAGUAAUCUGCAAACCACAAUCCUGAUGCGUACCACAUAUACAGCUCAAUCCCCGACAGACCAGCAACUUCAGCCCAGCCGGAUGGGUUGUACAGUCUUCUGCAGGCACACUGAAACUACACCACUGGCUUUCUAUAGCUAUGUCUCACAGAAAUACUCUUCUCUGCAGGAUGUCCUUUAUUUAUCAUACAACAUGGUACUGUGAAUAAGUAUCUAAUACAUCUACUGUUGGGCCGUUUCUAGUCAUAAAAGACAUAAGCGGCCACCAUCACAUUGCAAAAUGUGUAGAACUGCUGGAAAUAAGCUUUAAAACUGAAUUUAUUUCUUUCAACCCCAUAGCAUAGUGUGUAGAAUUGCAGGAAAUUAGCUUUAUAACUGCAAUGUUCUCUCCGCCCCGUGAGAAAAUUAGUAGAAUUGCAGGACAUUAACUUCAAAGCUGCAAAUGUUUCCCUCCCUCGCCAUGAGGGGGACACUAAAAUGUUUUCCCCGCGAGGUGUGCAAAUCUCGUUUUGGGCCCCCAAAAUGCUAGAAACUGCCCUAAUCUACUGUAUCACACAUGGACACCUGGCUUCUGUUACAUGCCUUUCCAUAAUAUUGGUUACUGUGUUAGUAUUUUUAUUUGGGGGUGUUGGAGGGGUCCCACCCACUAAAUGCUAAAUAUAUACUGUAUUUAUAUCUAUUCUGUCAUCUGUGUGAUACCUACCUCCUUCCAUAACGGUUGGAUACAAUUUAUUAAGUAAAAUGCAUUUGAAAUCAAAAUAGAUCAAAAUCUAAAUAUAAUAUUUCAGUUUUAAAAAUGUUUACAUUCUUGGCAACAUCAGAUCAUCAAAACUGAUAAAAAAUAGAUUUCCUAAAUGCUAUUAAAAUCUCCCCAUUUCCCCAUGUUAUUUUCGAAGUUCCCAGUUUAACUUCAACUUUCUCAGCACUUCAGUCUCCCUUUCAAUGUGCAGUGUUGUAAACACAUUCUAGCUUUUAGUCUAACAACUACAGAGCAGUUAAGUUGUAAAUGGUGUGAGACCAUAAUUUUGAUGACAAUUUUUUUCUCUAGUUAAAAUUUGAGAUUAGCCUCGUUUGACUAUCCUGAUCUCCUGAAUCCCCUGUAGCUCAGUUGGUAGAGCAUGGCGCUUGCAACACAGGAUUGUGGGUUCGUUUCCCACGGGGGGC